This 253-nucleotide ribosomal RNA is filed under the name uncultured bacterium. RNAcentral's name for it is "partial 16S ribosomal RNA". It matches the Rfam family "Bacterial small subunit ribosomal RNA", at positions 524 to 776 of the family's 1533-position model. The record is from RNAcentral.
UACAGAGGGUGCGAGCGUUAAUCGGAAUUACUGGGCGUAAAGCGCGCGUAGGCGGCUUUGCAAGUCGGGUGUGAAAUCCCCAGGCUUAACCUGGGAACUGCAUUCGAGACUGCAUUGCUAGAGUAUGGGAGAGGGAAGUGGAAUUUCCGGUGUAGCGGUGAAAUGCGUAGAUAUCGGAAGGAACAUCAGUGGCGAAAGCGACUACCUGGCCCAUUCUUGACGCUGAGGCGCGAAAGCUAGGGGAGCAAACGGG